UGCGGGGUGGAGCAGUGGUAGCUCGUUGGGCUCAUAACCCAAAGGUCGUUGGUUCGAAUCCAGCCCCCGCUA
RNAcentral lists this transfer RNA (72 nucleotides) under bacterium. RNAcentral's name for it is "tRNA-Met". It matches the Rfam family "tRNA". From Rfam's summary of the family: Transfer RNA (tRNA) molecules are approximately 80 nucleotides in length. Their secondary structure includes four short double-helical elements and three loops (D, anti-codon, and T loops). RNAcentral also lists the same sequence under 4 other names. The record is from RNAcentral.